This 398-nucleotide ribosomal RNA is filed under the name uncultured microorganism. RNAcentral's name for it is "bacterial SSU rRNA". It matches the Rfam family "Archaeal small subunit ribosomal RNA", at positions 330 to 735 of the family's 1478-position model. The record is from RNAcentral.
GUGCAGCAGUCGAGAAACUUUACAAUGUGCGAAAGCACGAUAAGGGAACUCUGAGUGCCUCCUAAGGAGGCUGUUCAGGUGUCUAAAAGCACCUGAAGGAAGGGCUGGGUAAGACCGGUGCCAGCCGCCGCGGUAACACCGGCAGCCCAAGUGGUAGCCACGUUUAUUGGGUCUAAAGCGUCCGUAGCCGGCUGGGUAAGUUCCUUGGGAAAUUUGGCUGCUUAACAGUCAAGCUUUCAGGGAAUACUGCCCGGCUUGGGACCGGGAGAGGUCAGAGGUACUCCAGGGGUAGGGGUGAAAUCCAUUAAUCCUUGGGGGACCACCGGUAGCGAAGGCGUCUGACCAGACCGGGUCCGACGGUGAGGGACGAAGGCUAGGGGCGCGAACCGGAUUACAUA